Magnolia sinica is the source of this 337-nucleotide long non-coding RNA. RefSeq lists it as uncharacterized. The transcript has 2 exons. The record is from RefSeq and is a predicted model, not a curated record. Lineage: Eukaryota; Viridiplantae; Streptophyta; Magnoliopsida; Magnoliales; Magnoliaceae.
GUCUGAGUGAUGGAACCCUAGCUACGGCUGUUGUCACGAGUGGCGCCUUGACAGUUAUGGUGUUAUACCUGUACCAGAGGUGACAGAUUGACAGCCUCUAACUAGCAAUGAUAGAUACCUGGUGGCUGCAAUUGAUGGGGUCUCCGAGAAAAUGACUGUGCAGGAUAUCUGUGAUCUAAUAUGGGAUGCACGCAUUCAAGACUGAAAAAUCAGAAUCCGUUUCUGCCAACACAAAAUUGUUGGCUGUGUGGAAGGCUAUGUGGCAGUUCAUGUGCAUUUGUAGUUUGUUUUGAAAACUUUAAAUAGACCAUUAAUUGUUUUGUUGGUAUUGUGCUGA